RNAcentral lists this ribosomal RNA (517 nucleotides) under uncultured Bacillus sp. Its description in RNAcentral is "bacterial SSU rRNA". It matches the Rfam family "Bacterial small subunit ribosomal RNA", at positions 380 to 888 of the family's 1533-position model. Lineage: Bacteria; Bacillati; Bacillota; Bacilli; Caryophanales; Bacillaceae. The record is from RNAcentral.
AGUCUGAUGGAGCAACGCCGCGUGAGCGAUGAAGGCCUUCGGGUCGUAAAGCUCUGUUGUUAGGGAAGAACAAGUAUCGGAGUAACUGCCGGUACCUUGACGGUACCUAACCAGAAAGCCACGGCUAACUACGUGCCAGCAGCCGCGGUAAUACGUAGGUGGCAAGCGUUGUCYGGAAUUAUUGGGCGUAAAGCGCGCGCAGGCGGUCCUUUAAGUCUGAUGUGAAAGCCCMCGGCUCAACCGUGGAGGGUCAUUGGAAACUGGGGGACUUGAGUKCAGAAGAGGAAAGCGGAAUUCCACGUGUAGCGGUGAAAUGCGUAGAGAUGUGGAGGAACACCAGUGGCGAAGGCGGCUUUCUGGUCUGUAACUGACGCUGAGGCGCGAAAGCGUGGGGAGCAAACAGGAUUAGAUACCCUGGUAGUCCACGCCGUAAACGAUGAGUGCUAAGUGUUAGGGGGUUUCCGCCCCUUAGUGCUGCAGCUAACGCAUUAAGCACUCCGCCUGGGGAGUACGGCCG